AUUGAACGCUGGCGGCAGGCCUAACACAUGCAAGUCGAGCGGAUGAAGGGAGCUUGCUCCUGGAUUCAGCGGCGGACGGGUGAGUAAUGCCUAGGAAUCUGCCUGGUAGUGGGGGAUAACGUCCGGAAACGGGCGCUAAUACCGCAUACGUCCUGAGGGAGAAAGUGGGGGAUCUUCGGACCUCACGCUAUCAGAUGAGCCUAGGUCGGAUGAGCUGGUUGGUGGGGUAAAGGCCUACCAAGGCGACGAUCCGUAACUGGUCUGAGAGGAGGAUCAGUCACACUGGAACUGAGACACGGUCCAGACUCCUACGGGAGGCAGCAGUGGGGAAUAUUGGAGAAGUGGCGAAAGCCUGAUCCAGCCAUGCCGCGUGUGUGAAGAAGGUCUUCGGAUUGUAAAGCACUUUAAGUUGGGAGGAAGGGCAGUAAGUUAAUAACUUGCUGUUUUGACGUUACCAACAGAAUAAGCACCGGCUAACUUCGUG
Molecule: ribosomal RNA, 484 nt
Filed under: uncultured bacterium
Lineage: Bacteria
Description: partial 16S ribosomal RNA
Rfam family: Bacterial small subunit ribosomal RNA
Source: RNAcentral